GGAAUAUUGGUCAAUGGAGGCAACUCUGAACCAGCCAUGCCGCGUGCAGGAAGACGGCCCUAUGGGUUGUAAACUGCUUUUAUCUGGGAAUAAACCUAAUUACGUGUAAUUAGCUGAAUGUACCAGAAGAAUAAGGAUCGGCUAACUCCGUGCCAGCAGCCGCGGUAAUACGGAGGAUCCAAGCGUUAUCCGGAUUUAUUGGGUUUAAAGGGUGCGUAGGCGGCCUGUUAAGUCAGAGGUGAAAGACGGUAGCUCAACUAUCGCAGUGCCUUUGAUACUGACGGGCUUGAAUAAACUAGAGGUAGGCGGAAUGAGACAAGUAGCGGUGAAAUGCAUAGAUAUGUCUCAGAACACCGAUUGCGAAGGCAGCUUACUAUGGUUUUAUUGACGCUGAGGCACGAAAGCGUGGGGAUCAAACAGGAUUAGAUACCCCAG
Molecule: ribosomal RNA, 435 nt
Filed under: uncultured Pedobacter sp.
Lineage: Bacteria; Pseudomonadati; Bacteroidota; Sphingobacteriia; Sphingobacteriales; Sphingobacteriaceae
Description: bacterial SSU rRNA
Rfam family: Bacterial small subunit ribosomal RNA
Source: RNAcentral